CGGGAUGACGGCCUUCGGGUUGUAAACCGCUUUUGAUUGGGAGCAAGCGAGAGUGAGUGUACCUUUCGAAUAAGCACCGGCUAACUACGUGCCAGCAGCCGCGGUAAUACGUAGGGUGCAAGCGUUAUCCGGAUUUAUUGGGCGUAAAGAGCUCGUAGGCGGUUCGUCGCGUCUGGUGUGAAAGUCCAUCGCUUAACGGUGGAUCGGCGCCGGGUACGGGCGGACUGGAGUGCGGUAGGGGAGACUGGAAUUCCCGGUGUAACGGUGGAAUGUGUAGAUAUCGGGAAGAACACCGAUGGCGAAGGCAGGUCUCUGGGCCGUCACUGACGCUGAGGAGCGAAAGCGUGGGGAGCGAACAGGAUUAGAUACCCUGGUAGUCCACGCCGUAAACGGUGGAUGCUGGAUGUGGGGCCCGUUCCACGGGUUCCGUGUCGGAGCUAACGCGUUAAGCAUCCCGCCUGGGGAGUACGGCCGCAAGGCUAAAACUCAAAGAAAUUGACGGGGGCCCGCACAAGCGGCGGAGCAUGCGGAUUAAUUCGAUGCAACGCGAAGAACCUUACCUGGGCUUGACAUGUGCCGGACGGCCGCGGAGACGCGGCUUCCCUUCGGGGCCGGUUCACAGGUGGUGCAUGGUCGUCGUCAGCUCGUGUCGUGAGAUGUUGGGUCAAGUCCCGCAACGAGCGCAACCCUCGCCUCGUGUUGCCAGCGGGUCAUGCCGGGAACUCACGGGGGACCGCCGGGGUUAACCCGGAGGAAGGUGGGGAUGACGUCAGAUCAUCAUGCCCCUUACGUCCAGGGCUUCACGCAUGCUACAAUGGCCGGUACAACGGGAUGCGACAUGGUGACAUGGAGCGGAUCCCUGAAAACCGGUCUCAGUUCGGAUCGGAGCCUGCAACCCGGCUCCGUGAAGGCGGAGUCGCUAGUAAUCGCGGAUCAGCAACGCCGCGGUGAAUGCGUUCCCGGGCCUUGUACACACCGCCCGUCAAGUCAUGAAAGUGGGCAGCACCCGAAGCCGG
RNAcentral lists this ribosomal RNA (1016 nucleotides) under Bifidobacterium sp. g2-6. RNAcentral's name for it is "bacterial SSU rRNA". It matches the Rfam family "Bacterial small subunit ribosomal RNA", at positions 404 to 1430 of the family's 1533-position model. Lineage: Bacteria; Bacillati; Actinomycetota; Actinomycetes; Bifidobacteriales; Bifidobacteriaceae. The record is from RNAcentral.